GUAUUGGUGGUUCAGUGGUAGAAUUCUCACCUUCCAUGCAAGAGAUCCUGGGUUGGACUCUCAACUAAUAUA
This 72-nucleotide transfer RNA is filed under the name Loxodonta africana (African savanna elephant). It matches the Rfam family "tRNA". From Rfam's summary of the family: Transfer RNA (tRNA) molecules are approximately 80 nucleotides in length. Their secondary structure includes four short double-helical elements and three loops (D, anti-codon, and T loops). Lineage: Eukaryota; Metazoa; Chordata; Mammalia; Proboscidea; Elephantidae. The record is from Rfam by way of RNAcentral.